UACGGAGGGUGCAAACGUUGCUCGGAAUCAUUGGGCGUAAAGCGCACGUGGGCGGCCUGUUAAGUCGGGUGUGAAAGCCCUGGGCUCAACCCAGGAAGUGCACUCGAAACUGGCGGGCUUGAAUAUGGAAGAGGGUCGCGGAAUUCCCGGUGUAGAGGUGAAAUUCGUAGAUAUCGGGAGGAACACCAGUGGCGAAGGCGGCGACCUGGGCCAAUAUUGACGCUGAGGUGCGAAAGCGUGGGGAGCAAACAGG
RNAcentral lists this ribosomal RNA (253 nucleotides) under uncultured bacterium. Its description in RNAcentral is "partial 16S ribosomal RNA". It matches the Rfam family "Bacterial small subunit ribosomal RNA", at positions 524 to 776 of the family's 1533-position model. The record is from RNAcentral.